This 961-nucleotide long non-coding RNA is filed under the name Prunus dulcis (almond). RNAcentral describes it as "sRNA ncRNA". Lineage: Eukaryota; Viridiplantae; Streptophyta; Magnoliopsida; Rosales; Rosaceae. The record is from RNAcentral.
AGGUAUUUUUCUCUAACAACAGAUGACUUGGAGAUAGUCUAGAGUCCUGAAUCUUUGCAUCAUGAGGAGGAUAUGGUUAAGUGGACAGAAAGUUAAGGCCAUGGGCUCAAGCUUUAUAGGCUGUUCUGUUUGAAAACCACAGCUAGGUUGGUGCAUAUCUCUCUGUUUUCACAUGGGUUUAUCAAAAUGUUAUUGGUUCUUGAAUGCUUAUGUGAUCUUGAUUUAUCAUUGACUGAAAUAACUCCAAGAGAUUAUCUACAUUGAUUCCCAUUUGUUUCUUCAAUUCGAAAUUUAACUGCUAUAUUGUCAUACUCAUUCAAAUCAGAAAGUUACUUCUUUUGUAACAAUGGAGAAAUAAUCCUUUUACUAUAUGCUAAACUGAUAUGUGAUCAUUGCCCUUUCCCUUUUUUUAUUCGUCACAUUUUCUGGAUGUCAGGAAGACGACUGCAUAAUCAAGCAAGUUGGGAGACCUGGUGCUAAAUGAUUGUCUAUUCUUGCAGAGUUCUUACCAGGGUGAGUUAUACUGUGAAAACUCACUUCCAGAUCUUGAGAGAACCACUGAAAUGCAUGAUAAUAUGCAAAUUAGUUUGGUUUCCAAUUUAUAGGCAUGCUGUUUGCAUUUCAUUUAUAUUGAUAUAUACCUUAUAGAGAGCACCUUACAAUUACUGUCUGGCCAGAGGAAAGCCAAUACUCAGUUGAGUGAUUGUGGCAAAUCCUGUCAAGCAACGAGAAACUCAAUGGCGAAUCAAGUCAAGCAAUGAGGAGCUGAAUGGCAGUUAAUGGUGAAUAGCACGGUGGAGCUCAAUGAAAUUCUGUAUUUUUUCUCUUUUCCAAAUGAGUUUUUGAUUUUUAAUAUCAUAACUGUAAUAUUCUUGUUAAAAAGGUUCACCACUUGCAAUACUUGGUCUAUUUUCAAUAUGAAAAUAUUAAUGUAAUAGUCCCGAGGAUAGGUCCACCACUU